CCUCGGAUUUUAAUUCCAGUUGAAAUGAAAACGAGAUGAGUUUGUUGCAUCAUUUGAUACACUUCUGGAAGACAGCAGAUACUUGUAAUGUAGAAGGUGUUAUCAAAAAUGGGGAGAAAAUACAAUAGUGAUGGAGGUUUCCAGAGAUGCUAGGGCUGGGCCUGUGCUUCUAAAGUCUGUAACAGUAAGGCAGAACAGUUAUGUUCCUCUGGAAAAGGCUUUGCUAUGGAAAGUAGCAGUUUGGGCCAACUAAACAUUGCUUUUGGAGGACCAAACAGGCCUGAAAUGCACCUCUCGAGGCCAAAGAAUGGAAAAAUUGAUGGAGUGCAUUAAGCUGUUUCCAGGAUGUCAGAGGGGUCUUUGAUAGAGCUGAUCAUCCUAGCUCUGCAGUGACAACACAGAUGACAGAUGAUACUCAGAGGAGCCCCUUAUUCAUCUCCAGCUGCAGCAACUCCACCGCAGUCACGCUGUGUGUGUGGCUGCAGCUGCACGCCCAGCACAGCCCCAGGAAUGCUACCUCCGGAGACAAAUCAUCUCCUUUUCCUGGGUGGUGGAAGGAUGCUUUGGUGCAGAGAAGUGUGUUGCUGACCAGACCUCCUCCAGAAUCUGACCGGCAUCCCAGAGGAUUUGUGCACAGUUUCUGGAAAACACAGUGUAUGCUGCUGAUAGAGAUAUGUCUCCUUUUUCUGCCAUCCAAAUGCCAAACAAAGAGGAAUGGAAACCAAAUGGAAGCGGAGUGCUUUUGUUCGUGA
Molecule: long non-coding RNA, 752 nt
Filed under: Anas platyrhynchos platyrhynchos (common mallard)
Lineage: Eukaryota; Metazoa; Chordata; Aves; Anseriformes; Anatidae
Description: lncRNA (ENSAPLG00000025848.1)
Source: RNAcentral